UACAGAGGGGGCAAGCGUUAUUCGGAAUUAUUGGGCGUAAAGGGCGCGUAGGCGGCUUGGCAAGUGGAUGGUGAAAUCCCUCGGCUUAACCGAGGAACUGCCUGUCAGACUGGGUUGCUUGAGACCGGGAGAGGCGAGUGGAAUUCCCAGUGUAGCGGUGAAAUGCGUAGAUAUUGGGAGGAACACCAGUGGCGAAGGCGGCUCGCUGGACCGGAACUGACGCUGAGGCGCGAAAGCGUGGGGAGCAAACAGG
RNAcentral lists this ribosomal RNA (253 nucleotides) under uncultured bacterium. Its description in RNAcentral is "partial 16S ribosomal RNA". It matches the Rfam family "Bacterial small subunit ribosomal RNA", at positions 524 to 776 of the family's 1533-position model. The record is from RNAcentral.